This 597-nucleotide ribosomal RNA is filed under the name Ustilago striiformis. RNAcentral describes it as "LSU rRNA". It matches the Rfam family "Eukaryotic large subunit ribosomal RNA", at positions 55 to 633 of the family's 3401-position model. The record is from RNAcentral. Lineage: Eukaryota; Fungi; Basidiomycota; Ustilaginomycetes; Ustilaginales; Ustilaginaceae.
GGAAAAGAAACUAACAAGGAUUCCCCUAGUAACGGCGAGUGAAGAGGGAAGAGCCCAAGAUUGAAAGCUGGCGUCUUCGGCGUCCGCAUUGUAAUCUCAAGAAGUGUUUUCCGCUUCGGACCAUGCCUAAGUCCCUUGGAAAAGGGCAUCAUAGAGGGUGAUAAUCCCGUACAUGGCAUGGAGCGCCCGAAGCUUUGUGAUACGCUUUCUAAGAGUCGAGUUGUUUGGGAAUGCAGCUCAAAAUGGGUGGUAAAUGCCAUCUAAGGCUAAAUAUUGGGGAGAGACCGAUAGCGAACAAGUACAGUGAUGGAAAGAUGAAAAGAACUUUGAAAAGAGAGUUAAACAGUACGUGAAAUUGCCAAAAGGGAAGGGUAGGAGGUCAGAGAUGCGUUCUGGGAUUCAGCCUUGCUUUUGCUUGGUGUUUUUCCCAAAUUGCAGGCCAACGUCGGUUUUGGGCGCUGGAGAAGGGUGGAAGGAACGUGGCACCCCUCGGGGUGUGUUAUAGCCUUCUACUGGAUACAGUGACCGAGACCGAGGACAGCAGCGUACUCGCAAGAGCGGGCCUUCGGGCACCUUUACGCUUAGGGCGUUGGCAUA